Molecule: RNA transcript, 1887 nt
Organism: Amphimedon queenslandica
Lineage: Eukaryota; Metazoa; Porifera; Demospongiae; Haplosclerida; Niphatidae
Exons: 2
Source: RefSeq, a predicted model, not a curated record
AUCAGUAUGAUGGUCUCUUCUCUUCUCCUAUUCUUUCUGAGUAUACUAGGAUCAAGUAAUGCUGUCUUGCAGUAUCAACUACAAAAUGAUACUCUCUCUACUUGCCUUGUACUGAGUGAUGGAUCCCUCUUGAUUGGUACAGCCAGUCACAUUAUAAAGUUAAACUCUGACAGUUUAACAGUAAACUCAUCUCUUCCAUUGAACACUACUACUAAUCAACUAUUGUUGCUCCUCAAUGAUACUGGACUCAGUCAGAAUGUUCUCUCUUGUCAGGAGCAGGAGUGUUUUCUUCUCAAUCCUAAUGACCUCACUAACACAGUCAGUGUUUCUGCAAGCCCUACUCCUUCAUCAUUCCUAUUCCCAACAACACCUGACAUGCCAGGGCUUUAUACUGAAGACAGAAAAUUUUUUGUUGGUAAAGAUGCUGCUUCACCUAUUGCUUCAUCAAUCAGUAAACUACAGUAUUCAUCCUCUGGCUCUCAGCUACAAAUUGUACUGGUUGGAAGUCAACAAGAACAUAAUAUUAAGCUUACUAGAAAAUUUUUAAAUAAUUUUCAGCAUAAUGAAUUUGUAUAUUAUGUAUUUGUCCUAGCUGAUUAUGGCUCCAAAGUACAAGUAGCAAGAAUAUGUAGCAACGAUACUGGAAUUGAGCAGCUUAGUAUGUCAACACUUAAAACAUACACUGAGGCAGAAUUACAGUGUAAUGAAAUGAUAAAUCCUGAUUCAAUUACAGCAGCUACCUUUGUACAGUAUAUCAAUGGAGAAUCAAUGAUUAUGGUAUCAAUGAAGAGUGGCAGUACUAAUAUCUUAUGUGCAUUCAAUGUAUCAGAAAUUAAUAGAAAAAUGAAUGAUAAGUUAUCCUCAUGUAAAAAUGGGCAGGGAACAUUGUCCUUAAAAAGAAAUAGUGGCAGUAGUUCAUGUCCGAGUAAUUUAGAUCAAGAUAUGAAAAGUGUAAGAAAAAUAAUCAAUACAACUUUAUAAUAAUGGAUCAUUGUACAUUUUAAUAGGCAAUUAUGGCAUGCAAUAGACUAGGACAAUUUAUUGUUCCAUUUGAAGUAGAUAGUCCUACAUUCGGAGUCAGAGUUGCUUUCACAUCUGAAGUAUCUGCACUUAAUAGUCUUGCAUAUGAAGACACUGUGUAUCUAUAUGCUGGGUCUCAUCAAACAAUUGAACAGGUAAGUAACAAAGUAUUGAUUUUAACAAAAUAAUUAUUUGUAGUCUAUCAUCAUUAUACAUGUAGUACUAUUUCACAGCUGACAAUUUGUUAGUUUCAAUUCGCAACAUCACUACAAAGACUAAUGAACAAGUGAAUAAGAUUAAAUUUUCCCCAGACGGUGAAUAUUUAUAUGCUCUCUCACCAACGCAUGUGAGUGAUCAUACAUUAACUGUCAGUUAACAUUAAUUAACAGGUUGUUAAAGUAAAAGCUUCAUUGGAUUGCUCAACUGCAACAAGUUGCUCUGAAUGUGUUGUCAGUUUUCUUUGUGGUUGGUGCCAGUUAGACUUUACAUGUACUGGGCAGAACUCAUCAUGUACUAAUGGUCAAUGGCUCAAUGUACAGAAUCAAGGUACAGAUACUACUAACACUUGUCCUUAUUUACAACCUAACUCUGAUACAUCUGAUGGAAAAUAUACUCAACCAGCUAAUGUUACUAAGAAUUUGACUAUAUCUACAAUCAAUACUGUGGUAAGUUACAAUUACAUACUAAUGAUAAUAAUAAUAAUUCUCCCAAUAUUAUUGUAACAAUACUCACUAUUCAAUAUCACAGUUUUUUCCUGGUCUCAGUUAUGAGUGUGUAUAUGGUGCUGUUACUCGAACUGCUACUGUUAACAAUGACAAUAUGGUGACAUGUAAUAAUGAUCCUCUGGUGAGUAACGUACGGUAAAGU